CAGUCGCCGCGGGAACACGGAGGGGGCUAGCGUUGUUCGGAAUUACUGGGCGUAAAGCGCACGUAGGCGGCUUGGUAAGUUAGAGGUGAAAGCCUGGAGCUCAACUCCAGAAUUGCCUUUAAGACUGCCGAGCUAGCAGGUGAGAGAGGUAAGUGGAAUUCCGAGUGUAGAGGUGAAAUUCGUAGAUAUUCGGAAGAACACCAGUGGCGAAGGCGGCUUACUGGCUCAUACUGGACGCUGAGGUGCGAAAGCGUGGGGAGCAAACAGGAUUAGAGACCCCCGUAGUCCCUGUCUCUUAUAC
RNAcentral lists this ribosomal RNA (301 nucleotides) under uncultured bacterium. Its description in RNAcentral is "partial 16S ribosomal RNA". It matches the Rfam family "Bacterial small subunit ribosomal RNA", at positions 509 to 807 of the family's 1533-position model. The record is from RNAcentral.